Molecule: ribosomal RNA, 249 nt
Filed under: uncultured Actinomycetales bacterium
Lineage: Bacteria; Bacillati; Actinomycetota; Actinomycetes; Actinomycetales
Description: partial 16S ribosomal RNA
Rfam family: Bacterial small subunit ribosomal RNA
Source: RNAcentral
CAGGGGUACUCGAGUGGCGAACGGGUGAGUAACACGUGGGUGAUCUGCCUUGCACUCUGGGAUAAGCUUGGGAAACUGGGUCUAAUACCGGAUAGGAACCGUCUUUAGUGUGGUGGUUGGAAAGUUUUUUCGGUGCAAGAUGAGCUCGCGGCCUAUCAGCUUGUUGGUGGGGUAAUGGCCUACCAAGGCGUCGACGGGUAGCCGGCCUGAGAGGGUGUACGGCCACAUUGGGACUGAGGUACGGCCCAG